This is a long non-coding RNA of Lolium perenne, 1234 nucleotides long. RefSeq lists it as uncharacterized. Lineage: Eukaryota; Viridiplantae; Streptophyta; Magnoliopsida; Poales; Poaceae. The record is from RefSeq and is a predicted model, not a curated record.
GGAACAUAACGACGAAGAGCGAGAGGCUCCACCCGGCGAGUAGCAUGCCGCCGCCGGAGCAGGCCGCGGAUAGCCACCAUGAGCACGAGCGAACGGAUGAGCAGGUAGUGCCGGUCGUAACUUCCAGCCAUCUCCUUCUAUUACUCCAUGGAGGUGAUCGUCGUGUUUGACCUGCAGGCCAAUGUAUCUUAAUUCAUAGAGUCAAGAUGCGGUGCUGCUGGGUUUGGUACAAAUCAACCACGUCUAGCACGCAUAUAUCUCGACGGCUGAUAGGUGUGGCAUCCCAGUAGUAGUAGAAGCACGCCUCGGUGGCCGUAGCAGCUAUCGAGCGGAUAUGAAGAUGGACGCUUCAUGCUCCCAGCAACAGCAAAAGGCCUCGGAGGUGGUAGCGGCCGUCGACCAGAUAUGAAGAAGGAAGCUUUGUGCAAUCCCUGGAAAACCUCAGAUGAGCUUGAUCACGAUGGUGCUUUUCCUGCCAAUCAAGACAGCCCCUGAUGCAGGACACAUCCGUGCUUCGUUGUCAUGGCCGGUCGAUGGAGGCAUGCAUAGAGGCGAUGGAUCAAUAUGCCCGGCCGGUUGCAGCAGCGGAGGAAAAGCGGAGCGCUCAGGUAAGUGUGAUUCACGUCAAUUAGAUCUGCUAUGUGCAUACUCGACUACUAAAUAGUUAGGCUACUGACUCACAUCCAAUUAACACUGCAACAUCUGUCUCACGAUAUACAUAUCAAUCCAAGAUUGAUUGAUUAGACAUGACUCCGUACACAUGUGCAAACUGAAGAUGCAAGCUAGGCUAUUAUGCCAUGGAACCAAGCCCCUGUGCAUAGCUCUACUAAUUUAGCAAUUUGGAGUUCCUUGCUAGCUGCUCCAAGCCUGCCAGUUCGGUUCAUCAACCAUGUUUGUCCGUUGAUUGGGCUGCCAACCCCUACCGACUUAGAAAAAGCAAGGUGAUUUCUGAAGUUUGUUGGUCUUGAAAUUCGUUAAAAAACAUCGAUGGUUUUUUGCAAUUGGCGAUUUUCCAUUACUAAGCAGGGCAUGCAAUGACAGGAAUCAAAUUGAAUUGGUUUGUCUCAUCUGUAAUCUACACGAAUAUUUUUUUCUUGGUUUUCUUUUCUUUCCAAUUUAUCAAUGCAGGGAGUGUUUGAUCUCUCAGUACAAUGUGAGUGCAAAUAUUAGAUUACAAAAUUUGUCCUUUCUUUGGGGCAGCAUAAAUUUACCAUAAUUAGUUUUUCAUCAACAA